This 1526-nucleotide long non-coding RNA is filed under the name Cyanistes caeruleus (blue tit). RNAcentral's name for it is "lncRNA (ENSCCEG00000001110.1)". Lineage: Eukaryota; Metazoa; Chordata; Aves; Passeriformes; Paridae. The record is from RNAcentral.
CCAGCCUCACCUGGGGUGUUCCACUCCCUCCAGGGUCUCAGAAUUUCAGCUCAGCCCUUUACAGCCCCCUGUUUGUUGACAGCACUGUAGGGCUGCUGGUGUCCAGCUCCUGGCCUGUCACCCUGCUGAAGUGGACUGGCCUGGGUAUGGUCCUCCAGGUUUGGUGACAGAGCUGUCCUGGCAGCAUGGAUCUGGCUGGCAGUCUCUAGAGGGUAUCUGGUUUUGACCCUGCCCUGCAGAACAUCCCCUAAGCUUGGCCCCCAGGCCUGUGUUGUUGCUAAGAGUGUAUCUGAUGCUGGGACUUGAGGCUGCCCUGCUCUCCCCACCAGCUGUUUUGUGGCUGGUCCUGAUCCUGCCUCUCUGUCCCACUAGAAGAAGACGUGGGUUAAUUGAGAGCAUGAAACUCACAUGUGAAAUGUGUUCAUCCUUGGUUUUGUCUAGCUGGAGAAGAGUCAACAAACCAGGAUGCACAAGAAAGAAAAGUAUCUGGAAGAGCAGAAGAGAACUGCAAGAUCUCAAGCCAUAACUGAGUCUCCUCAGCCUGCUAACAUGAGAGACCAAGGCAUUUGUGCCCUUCACUUUUGCUGCUUGUAACCAGGAGAAGGGAGAGAAUUGGUUUGUUUUUUUAACUUGAAAACCAAAGCUGAAGAUGAUGCACCAGACCAUACAGAACUGUCUGAGGGCUGCUUUGGUUUGGAGCAGUUCACCUCGCUGGUCCCUUGGGAAAGCUGCACUUCCUUCAAGUGGCUCUGCUCUUCUGCCUGCCACAGCAGGAGCACCAUGGAGACAUUCAUUUGUCAUUUUUUUUCCCCCCAGAAAUUCACUGCAUUGUUGAAAGUUUCUGGCCAUUAGGGAGGUCCAGAUCCAUAUGGGAGUUCUGGAAAAUUUUUGAGGUUCAGCUGUGAAUCCACCCUUGCCACCAGCAAAGGUGCUCUUGGUGCCAUUGGAGCCAAGAAGCAAUGCCUGAGCAAGGAGGAGUGGAGUGCAUGUGUAAGUCCCAGCCUGAAGCUCUGCUUUCCUUCAUUUCUAAUUGGCUGCUGCCUUCUUUUAAGACUGGUAACCUUAGAUCAGAGGGAAAAAGAGGAUUACUUUUAAGCAUGAUGAAAUUUAACUUGUAAUUGCUGUUUCCACAGCAGCCAAUUGAGAGGUAAGAGCAUAGCUUUACCAGGCAGCUUCUAAUCUCUAGGAUUUACAGAUGCUGAAAAUGAGCAGGAAAUCAGGACAGCAGUGACCUACCUGGAGUGCAAAUGCAACAACACUCACAGAUAUCCAUGCUAAAGACACAACAUUCAUAGCAAAUUUUAUCUCUCCUGUGCAACUUUGAAAAAUUUCAUGGUUUGAUGAUUGUGCCAGGUUUCACCUAGUAUUCAUCAGAUGCUGCAUUGUAUUUAAUGUCAGUUUUGGUAUCCCCCUGCUUGAUACAGGGUGCCACAAUAUAUUCCAUUGCUGGUAAGUUCCAACAGGGAGGCAGUAACUUAGGCAUUGACUGCUUCCCCUGACAUUUCAUGUUCCUGUAAAAUCAGCUA